RNAcentral lists this ribosomal RNA (459 nucleotides) under uncultured bacterium. RNAcentral describes it as "partial 16S ribosomal RNA". It matches the Rfam family "Bacterial small subunit ribosomal RNA", at positions 338 to 795 of the family's 1533-position model. The record is from RNAcentral.
CCUACGGGUGGCAGCAGUGAGGAAUAUUGGUCAAUGGCCGAGAGGCUGAACCAGCCAAGUCGCGUGAGGGAUGACGGCCCUACGGGUUGUAAACCUCUUUUGUCGGGGAGCAAAGAGAGUCACGUGUGGCUCAUUGAGAGUACCCGAAGAAAAAGCAUCGGCUAACUCCGUGCCAGCAGCCGCGGUAAUACGGAGGAUGCGAGCGUUAUCCGGAUUUAUUGGGUUUAAAGGGUGCGCAGGCGGAGGUGCAAGUCAGUGGUCAAAUUGCGGGGCUCAACCCCGUACUGCCGUUGAAACUGUGUCCCUUGAGUGCGCGAAGGGUAGGCGGAAUGCGUGGUGUAGCGGUGAAAUGCUUAGAUAUCACGAAGAACCCCGAUUGCGAAGGCAGCUUACUAAACUGUGACUGACAUUGAUGCUCGAAAGUGUGGGUAUCAAACAGGAUUAGAUACCCCUGUAGUC